RNAcentral lists this ribosomal RNA (176 nucleotides) under uncultured Treponema sp. RNAcentral's name for it is "partial 16S ribosomal RNA". It matches the Rfam family "Bacterial small subunit ribosomal RNA", at positions 356 to 524 of the family's 1533-position model. Lineage: Bacteria; Pseudomonadati; Spirochaetota; Spirochaetia; Treponematales; Treponemataceae. The record is from RNAcentral.
UAAGAAUAUUCCGCAAUGGGGGGAACCCUGACGGAGCGACGCCGCGUGAACGAAGAAGGCCGGAAGGUUGUAAAGUUCUUUUCUGUCCGAGGAAUAAGUGUAGGAGGAAAUGCCUGCAUGGUGACGGUAGGGCAGGAAUAAGCACCGGUUAAUUACGUGCCAGCAGCCGCGGUAAU